This 24-nucleotide non-coding RNA is filed under the name Arabidopsis thaliana (thale cress). The record is from RNAcentral. Lineage: Eukaryota; Viridiplantae; Streptophyta; Magnoliopsida; Brassicales; Brassicaceae.
GGGGAAUCCACAUUGGCGAGCGUA